UACAGAGGGGGCAAGCGUUAUUCGGAAUUAUUGGGCGUAAAGGGCGCGUAGGCGGCAUGGCAAGUGGAAGGUGAAAUCCCUCGGCUUAACCGAGGAACUGCCCUCCAAACUGCUUUGCUUGAGGCCGGGAGAGGUGAGUGGAAUUCCCAGUGUAGCGGUGAAAUGCGUAGAUAUCGUUUGGAACGCCAAUGGUGAAAACAGGUUGCUGGGAGUGCGCUGACGCUGAGACACGAAAGCCAGGGGAGCGAACGGG
Molecule: ribosomal RNA, 253 nt
Filed under: uncultured bacterium
Lineage: Bacteria
Description: partial 16S ribosomal RNA
Rfam family: Bacterial small subunit ribosomal RNA
Source: RNAcentral